Long non-coding RNA from Mus caroli (Ryukyu mouse), 367 nucleotides. RefSeq lists it as uncharacterized. NCBI's taxonomy places the organism in Eukaryota, Metazoa, Chordata, Mammalia, Rodentia, Muridae. The record is from RefSeq and is a predicted model, not a curated record.
UCCGAAAACUGCCACACAUCUUGAGCUCGCGGGGUACUACGCCGAACGGGGGUGUGUGAAGGACCUGGAAAGAGGUUGGAGACAGAGGAAGGAAAAGGGAAAUAAUGGAAGAACAGAAAGGACUUUUAGACACAACAGGCACAGCAGAAAAUCCAAAGGAGACAACUGAGGGGCGGCUCCUAGGCUCACAGGUACCUAGUGGAUCCCACUAAGGACAGAGCAGAAGUUUUGAACAGUGAACAAGAAUUACCUUCCAACUGAUCUAAACCUGUACUUCCAUGGCUUGAGCGCUUGCAGUGUUGCAUCCAAGUGAGGAAGCUCAAUAGUCAAGUAAAUGGCUGGCAACGUCUGUCUUAGUUUUUUUAGG